CACACUACAGACAGCCACUUACCUCAAGGGUGCCAUAUUUGCUCUUCCUUUACCUGGAGAACUCCCUCUCAAAACUCCCUGUUUGCUGCCCCUGUUCGCAAGUCCUGACUAUAACAGUGGGCAUUCACUCUCAUUGCUACUUGACGAGCAUACUCACCAGCAAGUCAGGGUUCUCAAGAUAUGUCUACACUGGAGCUGGUGGUCUCAUUUCCAGCCUGAGUGCAUAUACCCAUGCUAGCUGGAUUAGCGCUAAUGCACUAAAAAUGGCAGUGUAGCUGUGGCAAUGUAAACAUCUGGAGGGACUAGUUGCCCAGAUUAAUGGAGUGAAGCCCACUGAGAUCAAUGCGAGUUUUCCCUGAACUUCAGUGAGGCUGACUUCCCCCAUUGUCUACGGUAUACCAACAGUUAUAUGCUUUUAACUGUAUCAUUAUGU
This is a non-coding RNA of Pelodiscus sinensis (Chinese soft-shelled turtle), 433 nucleotides long. NCBI's taxonomy places the organism in Eukaryota, Metazoa, Chordata, Testudines, Trionychidae. The record is from RefSeq and is a predicted model, not a curated record.